UAUGCCUACGGGGGGCAGCAGUGGGGAAUAUUGCACAAUGGGGGGAACCCUGAUGCAGCGACGCCGCGUGCGGGAUGGAGGCCUUCGGGUUGUAAACCGCUUUUGUUCAAGGGCAAGGCACGGUCUUUGGCCGUGUUGAGUGGAUUGUUCGAAUAAGCACCGGCUAACUACGUGCCAGCAGCCGCGGUAAUACGUAGGGUGUAAGCGUUAUCCGGAUUUAUUGGGCGUAAAGGGCUCGUAGGCGGUUCGUCGCGUCCGG
RNAcentral lists this ribosomal RNA (259 nucleotides) under uncultured bacterium. RNAcentral describes it as "partial 16S ribosomal RNA". It matches the Rfam family "Bacterial small subunit ribosomal RNA", at positions 334 to 592 of the family's 1533-position model. The record is from RNAcentral.